UAAAAGUAGGUCAUGACUUUUGAGUC
RNAcentral lists this non-coding RNA (26 nucleotides) under Rattus norvegicus (Norway rat). The record is from RNAcentral. Lineage: Eukaryota; Metazoa; Chordata; Mammalia; Rodentia; Muridae.